GGAGUAUCACUUGAGCUCAGGAGGUUGAGGCUGCAGUGAGCCAAGAUUGUUCCACUGCACUCUAGCCUGAGCAACAGAG
This 79-nucleotide small nuclear RNA is filed under the name Homo sapiens (human). Its description in RNAcentral is "partial ncRNA". The record is from RNAcentral. Lineage: Eukaryota; Metazoa; Chordata; Mammalia; Primates; Hominidae.